Long non-coding RNA from Cyprinus carpio carpio, 421 nucleotides. Lineage: Eukaryota; Metazoa; Chordata; Actinopteri; Cypriniformes; Cyprinidae. The record is from Ensembl.
AACGAAUGCAGAGUAUAUUCAAGUUGCCAACACACUGGUUGUGAAGUACCCUUUCCAGAGAAAUAUAGAAGGAAAUGACUUGAGAAACUUGUGUUGGGGAGGAUUCAGUGUCUGUUGAGGCCCAUGUGAAUGUGCUACAAAGUGAGUAUCAGAAAACACAUCCAGACCCCUCGACUGUCAAAGACCACAAGGCAGGAACAUUCUCCUGGAGACGUUGAGAAAGCACGGAAGGAAUGUCUGUGGAGGAUGUACUCAAAAAAUAUCCAUACUUAAGGACACCUGCUGGAAUGAAUAUAGUACAAAAAAAUCAUCAACGUUUUUAUGUAUGGGGACCCUGCUACACUCUUUCCUACCAUACAACUGAUGGAUACUGACUGUAAAAUGGCAAUCAUAGGAGCAGGGCUCAGUGUGGUGACAGAAG